UACGUAGGGGGCUAGCGUUGUCCGGAAUCAUUGGGCGUAAAGAGCGUGUAGGCGGCCCGGUAAGUCCGCUGUAAAAGUCAAAGGCUCAACCUUUGAAUGUCAGUGGAUACUGCCGGGCUAGAGUCCGGAAGAGGCGAGUGGAACUCCUGGUGUAGCGGUGGAAUGCGCAGAUAUCAAGUGGAACACCAGUGGCGAAGGCGAGUCCCUGGACACUUCCUGACACUGAGGCACGAAAGCUAGGGGAGCAAACAGG
Molecule: ribosomal RNA, 253 nt
Filed under: uncultured bacterium
Lineage: Bacteria
Description: partial 16S ribosomal RNA
Rfam family: Bacterial small subunit ribosomal RNA
Source: RNAcentral